AAAAAAAUUUAAUUAAUUAAUUAAUUAAUUAAUUAAUUAAAUAAUUAAAAUAAAUAAAUAAAAUAUAACAAAUUAUUUUGGACUUGGGUCUCCCUCAUUUGAGCCCAUUACCCACGAAAAUCAGUCUAUAAAUACUGAGGUUUCAGUAGAGGAAAACACACUUGGAGUUACACUGGGAGAUUCACUUGAGAAAAAGGGAGAGAAGCAAAAUACUCUGAGGUUUCCUUGGAACAAAACACUGGACAAAACCUGAAGGGAAACCUACA
RNAcentral lists this long non-coding RNA (266 nucleotides) under Lathyrus oleraceus (garden pea). RNAcentral's name for it is "Pisum sativum (pea) long non-coding RNA (PSAT_LNC035132)". Lineage: Eukaryota; Viridiplantae; Streptophyta; Magnoliopsida; Fabales; Fabaceae. The record is from RNAcentral.